RNAcentral lists this ribosomal RNA (250 nucleotides) under uncultured bacterium. Its description in RNAcentral is "partial 16S ribosomal RNA". It matches the Rfam family "Bacterial small subunit ribosomal RNA", at positions 525 to 774 of the family's 1533-position model. The record is from RNAcentral.
ACGAAGGGGGCGAGCGUUGUUCGGAUUUACUGGGCGUAAAGGGCGCGCAGGCGGCCUCUCAAGUCAGGCGUGAAAGCCCCGGGCUUAACCUGGGAAUGGCGUCUGGGACUGAGGGGCUAGAGAUCGGGAGAGGAGAGUGGAAUUCCCAGUGUAGAGGUGAAAUUCGUAGAUAUUGGGAAGAACACCGGUGGCGAAGGCGGCUCUCUGGACCGAGACUGACGCUGAGGCGCGAAAGCGUGGGGAGCAAACA